UACGAAGGGGGCUAGCGUUGUUCGGAAUAACUGGGCGUAAAGCGCACGUAGGCGGAUUUGUAAGUCAGGGGUGAAAUCCCGGGGCUCAACCUCGGAACUGCCUUUGAUACUGCAAGUCUAGAGUCCGGAAGAGGUGAGUGGAAUUCCUAGUGUAGAGGUGAAAUUCGUAGAUAUUAGGAAGAACACCAGUGGCGAAGGCGGCUCACUGGUCCGGAACUGACGCUGAGGUGUGAAAGCGUGGGGAGCAAACAGG
RNAcentral lists this ribosomal RNA (253 nucleotides) under uncultured bacterium. RNAcentral's name for it is "partial 16S ribosomal RNA". It matches the Rfam family "Bacterial small subunit ribosomal RNA", at positions 524 to 776 of the family's 1533-position model. The record is from RNAcentral.